UCCUGCUACCCACCUGCCAACAGCAGGGCGUCGAGAGCACGUCCCGGUACGGUGGGAGAUGUGUUCUGAUUUAUCUGUGCUCUCUCACCUUGUCCCCUGAGUGACCAAAGCUGGGCAUAUGCAAAAUGGCUGGCUUGGUUUAGAAAUACAAACGGAGACCCUGAAACCGUUGACUUAUUGGUAAUUAGACCACACUGGUAUUGAACCCGUGACCUCAGUCUCAUUAGAGCUGCAUUUGGGCCAACUGAGUUGACCAGAAACAGAUUCAAAACAGUGAGUGAUAGAGGUCUUUGGUGCAGGGUCAAAGGCCUAUUUACACUACCCAAUAUCAUAAGUGGCUUCUUUCCCUGCCAUUUGAAAGGGGCGGCAACAGAUGAAAAUGGCCAUAUGGAUAGGUCACUGCUCUCUGCUUCGUAUCUGUGACUUGUACAGCAUUGCUAUUCUGGCCAACUCCCACCUUCCUUUAACUGCAUUUCCGUGCAACUCAAGGGUUAACGGAGGGAGAGACAAGUGUUUUAGCAGGACUUCACCCCACCCCCUUUCAGUUGCUAAUGGCUAAUAGUAACAAAAACACUGGGAUUAAAGUCCAUUUCUUUAGGAAUGGUUUCCUUUGAAAUGACACCCUUAGAUUUAAAAAUAUCCGCGGUUAAUCAUUAUGUUCGCUCUUUGCUUUUCAAGGAGAGCUCAAAGCAGGUGACUUGUCUUCAUUUUGCGUAGAAAAGGAGUCAGCUCCCAGUGGUCGCGCAGGAUAAAUGGAAAAGGCAGGACUUGGUGUGAAAUCAACGAAAUGGCAAAGAAAUAGCCUCCCAGUAUAACCGGAUUUUUUUUAUGGGAUCACACUGACCUUCCAGGUCAGUGGGAAGAGAAUGGAUUCCCAUGAUCUUGACUAGCCAUUUAAUAAAGCUAGACUUUCUAUGUCAGUGGUUCCUACAGAGCUCCGUAAGAUGUCAGGCAAGGAACAGAGAAAAAUAAAUAAAUUCCAGCCUGUCAUCUUAAGUUGAUCUCUAUCAUAUUCAUCUUCUCCACUCUACUGUGAGGCAUGCUGGACUGUGACCCCUUCUUUAAGGUGAGCUGAGGCAAUGAGUCUUCCUCCACAAACAUUCCUGAGCUCAAGAGCAUUUGCUGUAUUGUCUGUCCCGCUAUGCAAAAGUAGAAAUUACGCACAUGCCUCCAAAACAUCAAAGUGAAGCCCAAAGCUGGUGAACUAUGGAUUGAUCACGGACCCCCCCUGGAGUAUGCUUUGGAUGACCGCAGGGAGAAGUGUGUUCGCAGACAAAUGCAGCUUGAAAGAAACCGUGCCCAGGUCACCCUGCCGCCUGAGAGUUUGGGAUCUUGCAUAAAAUAAGCCUAUGUUCUUUCUCCACCUUCCAAGAAGUCGUUGGCAAUCUGUAGCCAUGUACAUUUGGAAAGGAACCAAGUUGGAUGCUUUGCCUGGGGCCCCCGGAUCCUCUGCCUUGCAGAGUUCCCUCCGUUUGGUCUGAAGCCUUCCAGCCGGGGCUUUAAUUACCCCCACACCUUCUCGAUCUCUGUAUUUAUCAGGAUUGUUUGACUUGCGCGUGACUGAAACUCAACUCAAACCAUCUUUAUUUACCAACUCACAUACCUGGGAAAGAUACCAGGUUUAUCACAGAAUCUAAAGAAGAGCUGCAGAGAUCGGAGUCUUAGAAAUCGGAACUGCAAUACAACCCUACCAGAGACUUUUCAAUUUCUUUCUUUCUUUCUUUCUUUCUUUCUUUCUUUCUUUCUUUCUUUCUUUCUUUCUUUCUUUCUUUCUUUCUUUCUUUCUUUCUUUCUUUCUUCUUUCUUUCUUUCUUUCUUUCUUUCUUUCUUUCUUUCUUUCUUCUUUCUUUCUUUCCCUUUUUCUCAUCUUGGCUUCUUUCUGAGAAAGGUUUCCUCUGUGCGAUAGCCAGCAUCCCUAAAUGCACAUUCUCCUGGGUUAGCAAACACCGCCGUUAAACCACCUUCUCCAAGGGCACCUGGGUGGCUCAGUCGGUUAAGCGUCCGACUUCAGCUCAGGCCGUGAUCUCACAGUUCGUGAGUUGGAGCCCUGCGUCGGGCUCUGUGCU
Long non-coding RNA from Felis catus (domestic cat), 2066 nucleotides. RefSeq lists it as uncharacterized. The transcript is spliced from 3 exons. The record is from RefSeq and is a predicted model, not a curated record. NCBI's taxonomy places the organism in Eukaryota, Metazoa, Chordata, Mammalia, Carnivora, Felidae.